This 499-nucleotide ribosomal RNA is filed under the name uncultured bacterium. RNAcentral describes it as "partial 16S ribosomal RNA". It matches the Rfam family "Bacterial small subunit ribosomal RNA", at positions 30 to 523 of the family's 1533-position model. The record is from RNAcentral.
UUGAACGCUGGCGGCAGGCCUAACACAUGCAAGUCGAGCGGUUGAAAGUAGCUUGCUACUUGAUGCAGCGGCGGACGGGUGAGUAACGCGUGGGAAUCUGCCCAGUAGUGGGGGACGACAGCCGGAAACGGCUGCUAAUACCGCAUACGCCCUACGGGGGAAAGGGGGGGAGCUUCGGACCUCCCGCUAUUGGAUGAGCCCGCGUAGGAUUAGCUAGUUGGUAGGGUAAAGGCCUACCAAGGCUACGAUCCGUAACUGGUCUGAGAGGAUGAUCAGUCACACUGGAACUGAGACACGGUCCAGACUCCUACGGGAGGCAGCAGUGGGGAAUAUUGGACAAUGGGGGAAACCCUGAUCCAGCCAUGCCGCGUGUGUGAAGAAGGCCUUAGGGUUGUAAAGCACUUUCAGUGGGGAGAAAGGUUUGUCACCUAAUACGUGAUGAAAUUGAUGUUACCCACAGAAGAAGCACCGGCUAACUCCGUGCCAGCCGCCGCAGUAA